This 971-nucleotide ribosomal RNA is filed under the name Bacillus sp. NCCP-1236. RNAcentral describes it as "bacterial SSU rRNA". It matches the Rfam family "Bacterial small subunit ribosomal RNA", at positions 53 to 1004 of the family's 1533-position model. Lineage: Bacteria; Bacillati; Bacillota; Bacilli; Caryophanales; Bacillaceae. The record is from RNAcentral.
ACAUGCAAGUCGAGCGGACAGAUGGGAGCUUGCUCCCUGAUGUUAGCGGCGGACGGGUGAGUAACACGUGGGUAACCUGCCUGUAAGACUGGGAUAACUCCGGGAAACCGGGGCUAAUACCGGAUGGUUGUUUGAACCGCAUGGUUCAGACAUAAAAGGUGGCUUCGGCUACCACUUACAGAUGGACCCGCGGCGCAUUAGCUAGUUGGUGAGGUAACGGCUCACCAAGGCAACGAUGCGUAGCCGACCUGAGAGGGUGAUCGGCCACACUGGGACUGAGACACGGCCCAGACUCCUACGGGAGGCAGCAGUAGGGAAUCUUCCGCAAUGGACGAAAGUCUGACGGAGCAACGCCGCGUGAGUGAUGAAGGUUUUCGGAUCGUAAAGCUCUGUUGUUAGGGAAGAACAAGUGCCGUUCAAAUAGGGCGGCACCUUGACGGUACCUAACCAGAAAGCCACGGCUAACUACGUGCCAGCAGCCGCGGUAAUACGUAGGUGGCAAGCGUUGUCCGGAAUUAUUGGGCGUAAAGGGCUCGCAGGCGGUUUCUUAAGUCUGAUGUGAAAGCCCCCGGCUCAACCGGGGAGGGUCAUUGGAAACUGGGGAACUUGAGUGCAGAAGAGGAGAGUGGAAUUCCACGUGUAGCGGUGAAAUGCGUAGAGAUGUGGAGGAACACCAGUGGCGAAGGCGACUCUCUGGUCUGUAACUGACGCUGAGGAGCGAAAGCGUGGGGAGCGAACAGGAUUAGAUACCCUGGUAGUCCACGCCGUAAACGAUGAGUGCUAAGUGUUAGGGGGUUUCCGCCCCUUAGUGCUGCAGCUAACGCAUUAAGCACUCCGCCUGGGGGAGUACGGUCGCAAGACUGAAACUCAAAGGAAUUGACGGGGGCCCGCACAAGCGGUGGAGCAUGUGCUUUAAUUCGAAGCAACGCGAAGAACCUUACCAGGUCUUGACAUCCUCUGACAAUCCUAGA